Molecule: RNA transcript, 3134 nt
Organism: Magnolia sinica
Lineage: Eukaryota; Viridiplantae; Streptophyta; Magnoliopsida; Magnoliales; Magnoliaceae
Gene name: ETHYLENE INSENSITIVE 3-like 3 protein
Exons: 3
Source: RefSeq, a predicted model, not a curated record
CCGGAAUUUCUGUGAUUUUGCCUACAAACGAUGCUUCGCGCGCGUUACAUAAAAUCCCUUCUCUUUUCUUCCUUCCUUUCCUAAAAAACCCUAUCUUUUGUUUAUGAUUCUCUCUUUGAAAUCGAAGAGCAAGACGAAUCAUUGCAGAAGUUUGAUGGAAUAGAAAGAGACUGGAGCUGAAAUCUGGUACGGUUUUUGGAUUUUUUCGCCCCAUAGAUUUCAUUUUUGUUUUGUUUUUGUUUUUUUUUUUGAAAAAAGGGAGCAUGAAAUCUUGCAUGUGGAGUUGUUGAAAUGCUUUCAUAUUGAAACUGGUAUUACAAUUCCGCAGGAUUCGAAUUGGGUUUGUUACUUUUUUUCCUUUCUGGGUUGCAUUUGUUGUCAAGAUUCUGGUUUUAUGGUUGGGCAAGUGCGUCGGAAUUUCGAUAAGUUGGUUUUGUAGAUUGAUUGGAAAUUCUGGAAGUAACCGAUUGAGAUAGUUUGGAAAUAGGAAAAGAAGCUGCUUUUGGGGGAUUGAUGGGUUUUCAUUUCCAUGUUCGGAUGGCAGAGACGGAUGCGGAUUGAGCUGUUUCAGUACAUAAGCGAGAAGCGUUUUGAUUAACAGUGGAAAAGGGGAUUUGGGUUGUGAGAAUCUGUUUGAAAUUUUGCUUGUUAUCUUCAUUUUCUCGCCUUUGUGGAUUCAAAUGGAGCACCUUGCGAUAAUUGCCCAAGGAUUGGGGGAGGGUUCAGAUUUCGAAGUUGACGACUUCAGGUGCGAUAAUCUGGCUGAAAACGAUGUCAGCGAUGAAGAAAUCCAGCCUGAGGAUUUGGAAAGGAGGAUGUGGAAGGAUCGGAUCAAGCUCCGGAGAAUCAAGGAGAGGCAGAAGCUUGAGGCGCAGCAGGCUGCCGAGAAACCGAAGCACAAGCAGUCAUCUGAUCAGGCCCGGAGGAAAAAGAUGUCAAGGGCCCAAGAUGGUAUUCUGAAAUACAUGUUGAAGCUGAUGGAAGUGUGCAAGGCUCGCGGGUUCGUGUACGGGAUCAUUCCCGAGAAGGGGAAGCCCGUGAGUGGUGCUUCAGAUAACAUAAGAGCUUGGUGGAAAGAGAAGGUGAAAUUCGAUAAGAAUGGGCCAGCUGCUAUAGCGAAGUAUGAGGCAGAGACUGCAGCGGAUGGCGGGAACAUGGAAAACAAAGGAAAUGGGAAUUUCCACAGCCUUCAAAACCUGCAAGAUGCGACUUUGGGUUCCCUUCUGUCAUCGCUGAUGCAGCACUGUGACCCGCCGCAGCGGAAGUACCCAUUAGAGAAGGGGAUUCCACCGCCUUGGUGGCCUUUGGGGACUGAAGAUUGGUGGAGGGAUUUGGGAUUGCCGAAGGGUCAGGUUCCUCCUUAUAAGAAGCCCCAUGAUUUGAAGAAGGCAUGGAAGGUUGGGGUGCUAACGGCUGUGAUCAAGCACAUGUCACCUGAUAUCACAAAGAUCAGAAGGCAUGUUCGGCAGUCAAAGUGUUUGCAGGAUAAGAUGACUGCCAAGGAGAGUUCGAUUUGGUUGGGAGUGUUGAAUCGAGAGGAGGAAAUGAUCACUCAGCAGCACAGCGGCGAGAUUGUGUUGUCUGCUGUAACCGAGAUGCAACCUAUUAGUCGCAAGGAAAGACAGGAAGCUACCACUAGCAGCAGUGGGGAUUAUGAUGUUGACGGUUUGGAAGAUUGUCAAGGUUCUGUUUCGUCUAAAGAUGAUAGGAGAAAUCUACAGAUGGAUUUAGAGCCAAGUGGAGGUAAUGCGGAUUCAACAGUAAGGAAGAGCCACCCUUGUGAAAAUACCAACCAAGCUGUUCAGGAAAAAGAGCAGGCAGAAGAACAACAUAGGAGAAAGAGACUCCGCGGGAGUACCACUCCUGCCGAUCAGCAGGCCACGACAUCUAGUGAUGAACAACUGCCUAGGGAACCGAGAAACACUCUCCCUGAUAUGAACUACACAGUUCUGCAGUCAAAUGGACAUCUUAUUCAUGCUACCCAACCUAAACGUUCGCGAAAUCCGUCUUCAAGAAGGCAAGAAGAAGAUUCGGGGAGCCAAAACCAGUUGCCUGAAUCUGAGUUCAACUACUUUUCCAGCCCGCCUGCUGAUGUUUCUGAACAAAGCAUGCAUGUUGGCGGCCAUCCAUUGUUAUAUUCAGGCAUGCAAAAUACCAGUUUGCAUCCCGAAACUACCUUUGGUUUCUAUUCCUCGUCUGGGGGAUACAGGCUUCCGCAUGACAAACAGCAGCUUGAAAUGCUCACGAUUGGUCACCAGAUAAGGCCCGAGGAUACUGGAUUUAAUGAUGAAAAUCAUGUCUUUGGGCAUACACUGACGUUGGACGGAAACUCGAAUGAGAUUGGCGGAGAUGUACACAGCUUGGUAAAGGAUGCGUUCCGAACUGGGCAAGAUAAACUCGUUGACAGCCAUUAUGGUUCUCCGAUCGAUGGGCUGUCAUUGGAUUAUGGAUUCAACAGUCCAUUUGAUCUUGGCAUUGACGGCACUAGUUCGUUAGAUACCGCUGAUCUGGAUUUCUCGCUGGAUGAUGAUUUGAUUCAAUACUUUGGAGCAUAGAAGGGUUAGGCUCUUCCGGACUGGGAGAUUCUUUGGGCAUCCCCGCUGCAGUGGGCUGCAUCACAUCGAUGGUCUGCAUCAACAAACCAUGAGCCCCACUUGUACAAAAUAGCCCAACCUUGCUGUAGGGGAGGACAGUGGAUUUCUUUAGGUGAAUGGUCUUAUGGUAAUCUUCCAGAUUUGUUGCCAGUUUUGCUCCCGUGCUGUAAAUGGAUGGAGAUUUUUUGCCUCACACAUUCUUGUUGAUGGGAUGAAAUCGCAAGAUCUUUCAUUUGCUUGUCUUGCCCUAUUCUUGACAUGGCUGGAUGGUAUUUACAGAUUCAUGAAAUGGCAAUGAAUAAGAUUGUGUCAUGACCAUAGUCACUAUUUCAAAUCAUUUUCCUUGGAUGUGAUCACUUUUCCUUUCUGUAAGGCCCGGUAUCUAUAUCUUGAUUGUGCAUGUAUGUAUUUCAAGGCUCUGAUAGAUGAACUUAAAAAGAUCGAUAGGGGUUGUGCUCCUUGUUGAUGCCUAUAUGUUCUAUUUCAAAACAUCAGUAGCAUAAACUAAUAAAAGAAAGCAUAUUAGUAUAGUUAUGCUUA